UAUGAACGCUGGCGGCGUGCCUAAUACAUGCAAGUCGAGCGAACAGACGAGGAGCUUGCUCCUUCGACGUUAGCGGCGGACGGGUGAGUAACACGUAGGUAACCUACCUAUAAGACUGGGAUAACUUCGGGAAACCGGAGCUAAUACCGGAUAAUAUUUCGAACCGCAUGGUUCGAUAGUGAAAGAUGGCUUUGCUAUCACUUAUAGAUGGACCUGCGCCGUAUUAGCUAGUUGGUAAGGUAACGGCUUACCAAGGCAACGAUACGUAGCCGACCUGAGAGGGUGAUCGGCCACACUGGAACUGAGACACGGUCCAGACUCCUACGGGAGGCAGCAGUAGGGAAUAUUCCGCAAUGGGCGAAAGCCUGACGGAGCAACGCCGCGUGAGUGAUGAAGGUCUUCGGAUCGUAAAACUCUGUUAUUAGGGAAGAACAAACGUGUAAGUAACUGUGCACGUCUUGACGGUACCUAAUCAGAAAGCCACGGCUAACUACGUG
Molecule: ribosomal RNA, 497 nt
Filed under: uncultured bacterium
Lineage: Bacteria
Description: partial 16S ribosomal RNA
Rfam family: Bacterial small subunit ribosomal RNA
Source: RNAcentral